RNAcentral lists this long non-coding RNA (627 nucleotides) under Homo sapiens (human). Its description in RNAcentral is "HSALNT0044642". Lineage: Eukaryota; Metazoa; Chordata; Mammalia; Primates; Hominidae. The record is from RNAcentral.
AGAAGCUGCUGCACAAUCCAGCCACUCUUUCCCGGCCAUCGUACUGGGGAGCCACAUAUCACAGAUGGCACAUCAACAAAAUAAUGGAGCCUUUAUCAGCCUGCAUCCUUGAGUUCCUGGAAGUGGAGCUGCUAUCCAGUACCCCAAAUGUGGUGCAUCAUAUGUCCAGAUUAAAUGAUUGUUAUGUUCCUUGACCAUUCCCCGACCAUGAUUUACCCAAGCACCUAAAAAGAUUCAUAAAGUGAAUACUGGGUCAAAGUUUAUGAAGAUUUUGAAGACUUUGACACAUACAUUUCAAAAAUUGUUACCGAGUGCCAACCUUCAAGCCAAAGAAAGCCUGAAACCUAAAAACUGAACUGCCAGUUCUGGACAGAGUCCACGACCAGAGUGAGAACUUCUAUCUUUGUCUUACCCUCUGUCUCUUGAUUGGUUCCUUUUGGAUGAUGCCUUUUAACCAACUGAACGGUUCUUUUUCCAAGAAGACCCAUGGACUAUUCUGCAUGCACUCCCCCAUUCUAAGCCCACAAAAACUCCAGACUCAGCCUCACAGAUGGCUACCCUGCUUUCAGGGUCCCCUCUCCACCGAGAGCCUUCCUUUUGUUGCUCAAUAAAAUUCUUCUCUGCCCU